Molecule: long non-coding RNA, 221 nt
Filed under: Prunus persica (peach)
Lineage: Eukaryota; Viridiplantae; Streptophyta; Magnoliopsida; Rosales; Rosaceae
Description: long non-coding RNA (PPER_LNC008326)
Source: RNAcentral
UGGUGUUGUUUAUUUUUUAACAAUGUGGUGAUGAAUGCCUUCACUUCUGGGGGAACACUAUCGCAUCGUUGGACAUUAUUUCCUGGAUCUAAUCCACUAAGAUGAUACUUAAGUCGUGUCACUCCACCACUCUUCAUUACCCGACCACAAUAUUUGCAAAUUGAGCCAUUUUUGUUUCCGUCUAUUGGGUCUCCAUGUUCCCAAGCUGGAUCACGUUUAAC